GCAUUAGUCAAGUAUCAUUUAGGAUUUACGAAUCAAAAACAGCACGAAGCCGUUUUCUAGUCUGUCACUCCGCAGCCAAAAAAAAAAAAAAAAAAAUGGCAGAAGAAGAAGAGGUGGCGAUGGAAUUGGAAGCUGUACAAGCUGUAUAUGAAGAAGAUUGUGUGGUUCUUGAUUCCUAUCCGCCCCAUCUUCACCUCCAUAUCAAGCCUCGAACCGCUGAUGUAUCUUCCCAACAGUUUGUUGAAGCAGUUAUCGACAUACGAGCAGGCCCCAAGUAUCCCGAUGAACCACCUUCUGUUGAUCUUAUAGAAUCCAAAGGUCUUGACCAGAAAAGGCAGAAACACUUGAUAAGCAGUGUACAAGAUAAAGCAUGUGAACUCUCCUCUUGUUUGAUGCUUGUUGCACUCUGUGAGGAAUCGGUGGAGAAGCUCUCUGGUAUGAAUCAUCCUGAUGGUGACUGUCCAUUGUGUUUGUAUCCUUUGGUCCCCAAAGAUGAGACUGAUGAAGUCUUGCCAUUUAUGAAGUUGAUGUCUUGCUUCCAUUGCUUUCAUAGUGACUGCAUCAUUCACUGGUGGAAUUGGCUCCAAAAGGAGAAAGAAAAUGAUGCUUCAUAUGGAGACACCUCGCACCUUAUAAGAGACAUGAGAAAUGAAAGAGUGGAAGAAAACAUAGGAAACUGUCCAGUUUGCCGUAACAUUUUUCAUGCCAAAGAUCUUGAACAUGUGCUUGACUUGGUUGGUAGUCAAUCCUCACAACUGAGGAUUUCUGAUGGUCCUGAAGUUGAUGACAAUGAGAAGCUCCUUCAGUCUGAUUCAGAGGACAUGAGAAGACAGAAAUUUGAGGCUAUUCUAAAAUUGCAGGAAGAAAGAAGUGGCCUAAUUGAACCAAAGAGAGAACUUGUCGUUUUGCCUGGUAUGUUUCUUUCGCAACCAGCCGCACUGCCCUCCCCAACAACCAAAGAAACCACUGAGCAAGAACAAAGAGAGCCACCAGAGCAAGAACCAGUAGAACCGGCUGCCCCGGCAGAAACAAAUCCUACUGGUUCCUCAAAUAGGCCUAGUACUAGUAAGCAAUGGAAUUCAGGCACGAGGAAACCUAGAGUAAGAAAUCCUAGAAAGCAAGUAAGACAGUGGGUUAAAAAAGAUAAUAGUACCACAGAUUAAUCAUUUUAUAUUUUGAGUCUGAGUUUUUUUAUAUCAAUUUAUUAUGAAUGAAAAUGCAAUAUAGAAAAAUGAUUACAAACUGAACAGGAGAGGAAGAAAAAAAAAUAAUGAAAGCAAAAUGUUUAUAGUGGAUUCUCAGCUUGAAGUUAUGAAUGCCAAAGUUUUGAAAUGGAAACGAAAGAUCGAUGAGGAUGAGAUGGACUAGGAUGUUAAGUGGAAGGCGCUAUUCUGUUUAUGAAGCUGUUUUCUGUUGGAAAAUACACGAAAAUUAGGUACAUUAUUGAGAUGAUUAGGAAUAAUGAAGAUCUUAUGCGGUAUAAAAAGUUUGACUCCAUAACAAUCUUCAUAGACUGACCGACCAUCUUGGGGCGGAAAAUGGGUGAAAACGUGGACAAAUUCCACGGACAUAUAUAGUGGUCUGUGGAUGAAUGGUUUCAGACUGGGAUUCAAGAGAUACCCAAUACUGUACUUGAUGCGAAAAUCGAUUAUAAAAGUCUGAACAAGAGGGAAAGCCAACUGGCAAUGAGAGUGGUGAGGGUC
Molecule: RNA transcript, 1703 nt
Organism: Pistacia vera
Lineage: Eukaryota; Viridiplantae; Streptophyta; Magnoliopsida; Sapindales; Anacardiaceae
Exons: 9
Source: RefSeq, a predicted model, not a curated record